This 1469-nucleotide long non-coding RNA is filed under the name Olea europaea (common olive). RNAcentral describes it as "long non-coding RNA (OEUR_LNC009195)". The record is from RNAcentral. Lineage: Eukaryota; Viridiplantae; Streptophyta; Magnoliopsida; Lamiales; Oleaceae.
UGGAAAUGAAUAGUAACGGCCUGUUCGGAGAAGUUUUUGCUGUUUUGCUUUUUCUAGAAAAGCAUUUGUUAAAGCUUUUCUAGUAAGACAAAGCAUUUUCACUUAACAAGACUCAAAACUACUACUUAGUCUCAGAAACGACUUUUUGAUUUUCAAAAGCCAUGCCAAGCAAGCUCUAAAACUCGUAGAAGGAGAGGAUUAAUUUCUUUACUUUUUUCUUUAGAAACUGAAAAAAUACCAAAGAGGAAGUGCAUAUUUUGGAUAUUUCAGCACAGGAUACAACCCAAAAUCCUAACAUCAAAUUUGAAAAAUGAAAAAUAAGCAAGCCAUAUAUGUAACAAAAUUACUUUGAAACAUAGACAAGCCAACUUGAUAGCAAUAUGACAAAAGUGGAGGGAAAAUAGAGCUGAUAUCAAGAAUGUGGGAAUUGAUAUAGCAUUCGCUUUAGCUUUUAGCAGUUUAUCAACUACUUACCUUACUGUGCAAAUCUAUUUAGCCUUAUAUUUGGAUUGUAACAUUAAGGUACAUGCAUAUUAAUUAUCUCUUGAACCUUGCUCUAGGAAAGCAGCAUUAAGGGUGCGUAUGGUACACCAUACAGGAUUAGGGUGGUUAGGUGUAGGAUGAAAGUUCUGUGUUUAAUGGUGAAACACCGGCAUUAAGGGUGCGUAUGGUACACCAUACAGGAUUAGGGUGGUUAGGUGUAGGAUGAAAGUUCUGUGUUUAAUGGUGAAACGCCAUAUUGGAAAAGUGUAGAAGUAUUUAAAAAUAAAAAUUUAUAACAAUAUUUUUAGCUAAGCUUAAAAAAAGUAAAGUUACUUAAUAAGUAACUAUUUACAAACAUGUUUUCUUGAAAACUUGCCUGGAUAACUCACUUUUCUUUAUUUUAAGUUAAAAAUUAAUGUUUUUCUAAGAUGAGCUUAAAAAUAAGAUGUUACAUUUAAUAACUUCUUUGUCUACAGUAAUGUUUGGAACUUGCUUUUUAAGUAAGAAAGUUUCUUUUUAUAAGUACUCUUAAAAAAAAUAAAAAUGUAAACUAACAUUUGUCCACAAACAUCUUUGGAUAACUUUUCUCCUACUCUUACGUAAAAAGGUUACUUUUUUUUUUUUUUUUAAAGCAAGCAUAGGCCUCAAAUGGCACUUAAGGCAUGAGGCAUUCAAUGGAAGUUUUAGAUGAGACAGGACUUCAAGCGUAAGCCUCAAAAAUGUUUUUAUGAACAAUAGAAAGGCACACAACCUCCAUUUGACAUUCCGAUGGGCUACCACACCAGCAAUAGAUUUCAAUCAUGUACAUCAUCCAGCAUGAGUUGAGACCAGAAAAUUUUAAUGAUGUUUCAAUUCUUAAUAUCUAUUGGCCUAAGCACAUCAAACUUCUAAUGACUUCUGGUUCAGGACUUCGUAAAUUCACCUAUAUGUUUCCCCUGCAUACAUUUAAGCUUCAAAGGAAAACUACAAUUAAUAUUAAGUGUGAC